This 452-nucleotide ribosomal RNA is filed under the name uncultured bacterium. Its description in RNAcentral is "bacterial SSU rRNA". It matches the Rfam family "Bacterial small subunit ribosomal RNA", at positions 29 to 524 of the family's 1533-position model. The record is from RNAcentral.
AACGAACGCUGGCGGCAGGCUUAACACAUGCAAGUCGAACGGGUGCAGCAAUGCAUCAGUGGCAGACGGGUGAGUAACACGUGGGAACCUUCCUAGGGGUACGGAACAACUCAGGGAAACUUGGGCUAAUACCGUAUACGUCCGUAAGGAGAAAGAUUCAUCGCCCCUAGACGGGCCCGCGUCGGAUUAGGUAGUUGGUGGGGUAACGGCCUACCAAGCCUACGAUCCGUAGCUGAUCUGAGAGGANGAUCAGCCACACUGGGACUGAGACACGGCCCAGACUCCUACGGGAGGCAGCAGUGGGGAAUCUUGGACAAUGGGCGCAAGCCUGAUCCAGCCAUGCCGCGUGAGUGAAGAAGGCCUUAGGGUUGUAAAGCUCUUUUACCAGGGACGAUAAUGACGGUACCUGGAGAAUAAGCCCCGGCAAACUUCGUGCCAGCCGCCGCAGUAAC